This 875-nucleotide ribosomal RNA is filed under the name uncultured Pseudomonadales bacterium. Its description in RNAcentral is "bacterial SSU rRNA". It matches the Rfam family "Bacterial small subunit ribosomal RNA", at positions 26 to 896 of the family's 1533-position model. Lineage: Bacteria; Pseudomonadati; Pseudomonadota; Gammaproteobacteria; Pseudomonadales. The record is from RNAcentral.
AGAUUGAACGCUGGCGGCAGGCCUAACACAUGCAAGUCGAGCGGAUGAAGGGGGCUUGCUCCUGGAUUCAGCGGCGGACGGGUGAGUAAUGCCUAGGAAUCUGCCUGGUAGUGGGGGAUAACGUCCGGAAACGGGCGCUAAUACCGCAUACGUCCUGAGGGAGAAAGUGGGGGAUCUUCGGACCUCACGCUAUCAGAUGAGCCUAGGUCGGAUUAGCUAGUUGGUGGGGUAAAGGCCUACCAAGGCGACGAUCCGUAACUGGUCUGAGAGGAUGAUCAGUCACACUGGAACUGAGACACGGUCCAGACUCCUACGGGAGGCAGCAGUGGGGAAUAUUGGACAAUGGGCGAAAGCCUGAUCCAGCCAUGCCGCGUGUGUGAAGAAGGUCUUCGGAUUGUAAAGCACUUUAAGUUGGGAGGAAGGGCAGUAAGUUAAUACCUUGCUGUUUUGACGUUACCAACAGAAUAAGCACCGGCUAACUUCGUGCCAGCAGCCGCGGUAAUACGAAGGGUGCAAGCGUUAAUCGGAAUUACUGGGCGUAAAGCGCGCGUAGGUGGUUCAGCAAGUUGGAUGUGAAAUCCCCGGGCUCAACCUGGGAACUGCAUCCAAAACUACUGAGCUAGAGUACGGUAGAGGGUGGUGGAAUUUCCUGUGUAGCGGUGAAAUGCGUAGAUAUAGGAAGGAACACCAGUGGCGAAGGCGACCACCUGGACUGAUACUGACACUGAGGUGCGAAAGCGUGGGGAGCAAACAGGAUUAGAUACCCUGGUAGUCCACGCCGUAAACGAUGUCGACUAGCCGUUGGGAUCCUUGAGAUCUUAGUGGCGCAGCUAACGCGAUAAGUCGACCGCCUGGGGAGUACGGCCGCAAGGUUA